AAGUUGUACUGAAGUUUCCUGAUGUGGAUGUUAUGCCUUUUGCACAUGAGAAGUUUUUUUUUUAAACCAGCCUAAGCUGGACCCAUCAGACGGGUCCAUUUAGUUGGUUUUAGAAGUUUGGGCAUUUGACAAUCUAGCUGAUGUCACAAUACACCUUUAGUAACCCUACAGACCUCACUGACCUUUCCCAGUGCCAGCAGUGUCCCACACAUUAUGCCUGUCUUUGAGGUGUCAUACUACCUUCAGAGUUGAAUGCCAUGUAAUUACUUGUAUUCAAUUACUAUUUAACAAUUUCUGCUUUUACAGGCACUGGUGGCAUCCAGAGGCCUCCACUUCUUUGCUUUCCUGGGCAUUACUGUCCUGUGGGCACUAUGUUUCCCACUCAGCACAAGUGUCCAGCUGGUACCUGGAGCGAUCGCAGUGGACAGGAGUCAGAGCGUGAGUGCCGGCCGUGCCCGAGAGACUGGUACUGUUUAGCAGGAGUGGGCACUCCCUCUGGGAGAUACAACUCUGGACACUACUGUCCUGAAGGGCAACAUUUCGUCGGCUAAAGUGGGGCCGGAGAGCAGAGGAUUGUUCUGUGUGUCCUGCUGGCUACUUCUGUCCUCAUCCGGCCACAAUCAAUCCAAAGUUUGUGGAACAGGAAGUUUUUCUGAUGAGGGGUCAUUGGAGUGUCAGCCAUGUUUGCCGGGUCACUACUGCAGCAAUGAGACCACCAGUGAAGAGGCCAUGCUCAGAGUAAUGGUCUGCCCCCCAGGUUUCCUCUGCUCACAGGGCCUGGAUCGAGAACCCCAGCGCUCAGCGGUAUUCUGCCCAAUAGGCUUUUACUGUCCUGAUGGAAGUGUUGUAAGUAUCAUUUCAAGGGUCAGAAACAUUACGAAC
Long non-coding RNA from Cyprinus carpio (common carp), 882 nucleotides. Lineage: Eukaryota; Metazoa; Chordata; Actinopteri; Cypriniformes; Cyprinidae. The record is from Ensembl.